UAAGAUAUGAAAAAGGAGGCGUUUUUAUGAGUACAUGAGUUGUUGCCAACUUAUAAUUUCAGCUUGGACCUAUUAUAGGUGUAGGGUAUUGUUGAAUCUUUGUCUGCAUGUUUUGCCCUUUUAUUUUCAAUCUGGGAUUCUUUUGCAUCAGUAUGCUAAUUUUGUCCUUUAAAAUACUUAAAAUGUUACUUUGGCUGAUCUUAUCCGAGUGUCGCUGCCUU
Molecule: long non-coding RNA, 221 nt
Filed under: Solanum tuberosum (potato)
Lineage: Eukaryota; Viridiplantae; Streptophyta; Magnoliopsida; Solanales; Solanaceae
Description: long non-coding RNA (STUB_LNC004152)
Source: RNAcentral